GCGUCAGUAGGUUGGUCGUGCCACCGGUACGUACUGGUCUCACUGAUUCCUCCUUCCUGAAGAACCGUAAUGCCAUCAAUUUGGUGUUGCGGGGAAACAGGACUGUUACUUUGAAAAAAUUAGAGUGUUUAAAGCAGGCUAACGCUUGAAUACAUUAGCAUGGAAUAAUGAAAUAGGACGAUCGAUCCUAUUUUGUUGGUUUCUAGGAUUGACGUA
RNAcentral lists this ribosomal RNA (216 nucleotides) under Glomeromycotina sp. RNAcentral's name for it is "partial small subunit ribosomal RNA". The stretch from base 40 to 216 matches the Rfam family "Eukaryotic small subunit ribosomal RNA", at positions 686 to 864 of the family's 1831-position model. Lineage: Eukaryota; Fungi; Glomeromycota. The record is from RNAcentral.